RNAcentral lists this ribosomal RNA (253 nucleotides) under uncultured bacterium. RNAcentral's name for it is "partial 16S ribosomal RNA". It matches the Rfam family "Bacterial small subunit ribosomal RNA", at positions 524 to 776 of the family's 1533-position model. The record is from RNAcentral.
UACGGAGGAUGCAAGUGUUAUCCGGAAUCACUGGGCGUAAAGCGUCUGUAGGUGGUUUAAUAAGUCAACUGUUAAAUCUUGAGGCUCAACCUCAAAAUCGCAGUCGAAACUAUUAGGCUAGAGUAUAGUAGGGGUAAAGGGAAUUUCCAGUGGAGCGGUUAAAUGCGUAGAGAUUGGAAAGAACACCGAUGGCGAAGGCACUUUACUGGGCUAUUACUAACACUCAGAGACGAAAGCUAGGGUAGCAAAUGGG